AGAAUCAACGCUGGCGGCGUGCCUAACACAUGCAAGUCGCACGAGAAAGGGUAGCAAUACCUGAGUACAGUGGCGCACGGGUGAGUAACACGUGAAUAAUCUACCUCCGAGUGGGGAAUAACUGAGAGAAAUCUUAGCUAAUACCGCAUAACACUUACGAGUCAAAGCAGCAAUGCGCUUGGGGAGGAGUUCGCGGCAGAUUAGUUAGUUGGCGGGGUAAUGGCCCACCAAGACGAUGAUCUGUA
Molecule: ribosomal RNA, 245 nt
Filed under: uncultured bacterium
Lineage: Bacteria
Description: partial small subunit ribosomal RNA
Rfam family: Bacterial small subunit ribosomal RNA
Source: RNAcentral